RNAcentral lists this ribosomal RNA (115 nucleotides) under Tursiops truncatus (common bottlenose dolphin). Lineage: Eukaryota; Metazoa; Chordata; Mammalia; Artiodactyla; Delphinidae. The record is from RNAcentral.
GUCUACGGCCAUAUCACCCUGAAAGCACCCGAUCUUGUCUGAUCUCAGAAGCUAAGCAAGGUUGGGCCUGGUUAGUACUUGGAUGGGAAAGGGGUGGGCUUCUGCGGCACUGACC